This is a long non-coding RNA of Mytilus californianus (California mussel), 1682 nucleotides long. RefSeq lists it as uncharacterized. The record is from RefSeq and is a predicted model, not a curated record. The transcript is spliced from 2 exons. NCBI's taxonomy places the organism in Eukaryota, Metazoa, Mollusca, Bivalvia, Mytilida, Mytilidae.
AUGAAGUUUCUAGGAAUUUUAUUUUUAUCUUAAAUUUUCCCAUUUUGACAAGCUCUAAUGAACAAUUUCUUUUUGUGAUGCAUUAGAAUAGGAAUACAAUAGGAAUACAAGUGUCACAAUAGAGAUUUUUAAUCUACCUACACAAAAUAUAAUUGGACAAAUUGCUGAAGAAAACUACAAGAAUUUCAUACAGGUCGACAUAUAAGGUAAUCAAUCAUUUUACAGUUGAUAUCCUUUUCUACUAAGGUUACGCAUUCCCUCAGGAAAAGCUAGUUUGGCUGUUCUAUUCAGAUCUUUUUUAUUUUGAUGUUUUUUUAUGGAUGUAUGGCAUCCUAAAUGUAAGGAAUAACAGUACUGUAGUUGAAGAGUUGCUGCCGUCAAUUUUUGAUUUCACUGUAACAAAUAUCUGUUUUACUGACUAUAAGGUAAUUCUUGUAGUUUUCUUCAGCAAUUUGUCCAAUUAUAUUUUGUGUAGGUAGAUUAAAAAUCUCUAUUGUGACACUUUCCCUCACGGAAAUGCAAACAUAAGUUUAGCCUAGAUAAGCAUGUAUACUGUUCUUCUUUUUUAGCUCACCUGGCCCGAAGGGCCAAGUGAGCUUUUCUCAUCACUUGGCGUCCGUCGUCCGUCGUCCGUCGUCGUCCGGCGUCGUCCGUCGUCGGCGUAAACUUUUUACAUUUUGAACUUCUUCUAGAGAACCACUGAAUGGAAUGAAACCAAACAUGGCAUGAAUGUUCCUUAUGAGGUGCUGACCAAGUGUUGUUACUUUGUAGCGGAUCCAUCAUCCAAGAUGGCCGCCAGCGGUGGACUUAGUUUAACAUAGGACCCUAUGGGAAAUACAUACAAAUGUCUUCUUUUAGAGAACCACUGAAUGGAAUGAAACCAAACAUGGCAUGAAUGUUCCUUAUGAGGUGCUGACCAAGUGUUGUUACUUUGUAGCGGAUCCAUCAUCCAAGAUGGCCGCCAGCGGUGGACUUAGUUUAACAUAGGACCCUAUGGGAAAUACAUACAAAUGUCUUCUUUUAGAGAACCACUGAAUGGAAUGAAACCAAACAUGGCAUGAAUGUUUCUUAUGAGGUGCUGACCGAGUGUUGUUACUUUGAAGCCGAUCCAUAAUCCAAGAUGGACGCUAGCGGUGGACUUAGUUUAACAUAGGACCCUAUAGGAAAUACAUACAAAUGUCUUCUUUUAAAGAACCACUGAAUGGAAUGAAACCAAACAUGGCAUGCAUGUUCCUUUUGAGGUGCUGACCAAGUCUUGUUACUUUGAAGCUGAUCCUUCAUCCAUGAUGGCCGCCAAUGGGGGGACUUCCUUUAACAUAAGACCCUAUGGGAAAUACAUACAAAUGCUUCUUCUAGAGGUGCACUGAAUGGAAUGAAACCAAAACAUGGCAUAAAUGUUUCUUAUGAGGUGCUGAUUAAGUGUUGCUACUUUGUUGCCGAUUUACUGUUCAAGAUGGCCACCAGGAUUUUUUAUUAAAUUACAGGACCAAUAUUAAACCAAAUUUGGCCUCACUCAUUAUUAGGGUAUCUGUUAUGAUUUUAAUCUAUUUUUACAUGAUUUCCAAAACCAAAGUAGAAUCAGGUGAGCGACACAGGCUCUUGAGAGCCUCUAGUUUUCUUUUGAAAUAAUCCAUAUUUAAAGUAAUAAUGUGUACCUACAUGUAAUAAAACUAGAAAUUGUC